AGAGGAGCAGAGAGGGAGAUGGAGAAUGAGGACAGAACAGAGAUGGAACAAGAGCAGUUCAGGGUCACAGUGGGGCUGGAGAACACCAUGGAUGGGUGGACAGUGUGACGCAGAGCUAACAAAGAGACACAGGUAGCCGUUCACACUCAUGGCUAAUAUAGAACCACCACACCCUGCAGAGUUUGAGACCCACGCUGGCAAAUUCUGCCCUCUUCAGGAGACGGCCAGAUGCUGACAACGGUAACAUCUGUGGUUAAAUACUUUCUAAAGUUAGUUAUGUUCACAUUUACAAGCUUCUGUGUGUCUUAUUAGUGGUUUGUUAGAACCCCCC
This is a long non-coding RNA of Oreochromis aureus, 331 nucleotides long. RefSeq lists it as uncharacterized. The transcript is spliced from 3 exons. Lineage: Eukaryota; Metazoa; Chordata; Actinopteri; Cichliformes; Cichlidae. The record is from RefSeq and is a predicted model, not a curated record.